This 467-nucleotide ribosomal RNA is filed under the name Lepiserica sp. 836020. RNAcentral's name for it is "partial 16S large subunit ribosomal RNA". It matches the Rfam family "Bacterial large subunit ribosomal RNA", at positions 1925 to 2600 of the family's 2925-position model. Lineage: Eukaryota; Metazoa; Arthropoda; Insecta; Coleoptera; Scarabaeidae. The record is from RNAcentral.
AAAUGGCCGCGGUACUUUGACCGUGCAAAGGUAGCAUAAUAAUUAGUUUUUUAAUUGAAAGCUGGAAUGAAUGAUUGGACGAGGAAAUUGCUGUCUCAAUUUAAUUUUAUUAGAAUUUUAUUUUUAAGUAAGAAAGCUUAAAUAGUAUUAAAAGACGAGAAGACCCUAUAGAGUUUUAUAAUUAAUUGAUUAUUAAUUUUUUAGUAUUAUUUUAUGGAUAAUUAAUUACUUAUUUUAUUGGGGCGAUAGAAAAAUAUAAUAAACUUUUUUUAAAAAAUUAAACAUUAAUUUAUGUUUUANUGAUCCAUUUUUUAUGAUUAUAAGAUUAAGUUACCUUAGGGAUAACAGCGUAAUUUUUUUUUAGAGUUCUUAUCGAAAAAAAAGGUUGCGACCUCGAUGUUGGAUUAAAAUUAAUUCUUGGUGUAGAGGCUAAGAAAUUAGGUCUGUUCNACCUUUAAAAUUUUACA